Daphnia pulicaria is the source of this 312-nucleotide long non-coding RNA. RefSeq lists it as uncharacterized. NCBI's taxonomy places the organism in Eukaryota, Metazoa, Arthropoda, Branchiopoda, Diplostraca, Daphniidae. The record is from RefSeq and is a predicted model, not a curated record. The transcript is spliced from 2 exons.
UUGUCCAAGCCCUACACGAUAGCAAUCAAGAUUCCCCCGUGGUUGCCUUUUGUGGGGUGCGCCGGAACAUGUUUCCGCAGAAGCAUUCGUUGGUUGUCAUCGAUUGCUUCGAUGACACCUUUAUUGAUUUUUCACCGGUAUGCCGCCAAGCGCAAGAAAUUCAAGAUUACUUGAUCAGGACUAAAAAGGAGCAAGAUACAGUUGCCAUUCCUGAGAAUUCAGAGGAUAAAUCAAGAAAAUGAAAAAAGGAAAAUUGUUAAUGGCACACCAAGAUACAAUUUCAUUUAAUAAAUCGAAGUCCUCAUUCCACAA